AGGCUAAUUUUGUCCUCUUUAGGCUCCAUGAUACAAGGGAAUGCAGUACAAACGCAAGUCUCAACAGUAGAGAGUCAAAACCAUCCAGCACUCAGUGGCCCCAUCGCGCUGGUCAGUAGAGGACCCGAGGCCAUCAGACGCAGCGGAACCUUUCUGGGUCGUAAGGUGAUAGUCCGGGGGACGUAAAUAGCCAGACGACGCGAGGAGGAAAGUGCGGGAGACUGGAAUGAAGCGACUGGAGAGUUAUGAAGGAUGAUGCCGCCGAAGUCCCGAGCGGCUUCGAGACAAGGAAGAGAAGCUCCGCGACUCACUUGAGCCAGUCAGUCAGUGCUGUGACACAAGGAGCAGCUUUCUCAGCGACGGGGAGCGGUGGACGGCGGAUGAAUACUUCGGCUCCCGCGCCUUCUUCUGCAUCAUGUCCGACCCUCUGACCCUGGUGGUGGGCGACCUGCGUCAGAGGAGUUGAAAAUGUAGGGGACUCGCUGCUGUGCCCUGCGUGUAGCUGUGAGGUGAAGUACAGACGGCUGCAUUGUCUCAGCCUCGGAGGUGCCACUUGUUCAAAUUACGAAUGGUUUAAUGUUAUUUUUUGCAGGCUGUGGAAUAUUGCAGUAUCUUAUAACAAGACAAAUGAUAUAA
Molecule: long non-coding RNA, 636 nt
Organism: Scylla paramamosain (green mud crab)
Lineage: Eukaryota; Metazoa; Arthropoda; Malacostraca; Decapoda; Portunidae
Exons: 4
Source: RefSeq, a predicted model, not a curated record